AGCUCGGAGUCCACUAGGGCAGCAUGGCCGCUCGCCACGCCGCUGCAGCCGCAGCUGGUGUGUGAAACCGGCGCCACGCUCCGCCCCUUUGAAGUGCAGCAGCCGUCAAGGUGGACGAUGUCUGCCUCCGGCGUUGUGCGCCUCGUGUAGCCGCGACCCAUUUGACGUCGUCCGGUGGUGUCACAUCGAUCUCGGACAGACGUCUCGCCCAUCGUGCCGUCUCGGACGUGCGUCAAUGAUCUCCUUUUUCGCGCGGGACACCCGGAAAGCACCGCGGUACUUGUCACUCACCUGAGUAGUAAAGAGAGACAAGCCGUAGCGACGGGAUCAUCGUUGUCCUUCCAUUUGUUGUUGCUGCUACCGGAAACGUCAUACUGUCUCCAUUCCUCGCUUCGAGUGGUGGUGUGUAUUCGUUCGGCGCUUGGGACAUCUGUGCGUUGUGAUUGCUUGUGCUGCAACUGAUCACACCAAGGCACGACUGAAACACAAGUGCGUGGUCGCGUGCCCCUACCUGAACGUGACACUGACAGGGAUCUCGCACACUUCGCGUGCGACGACACUCGACAGUUGCAGCGUGUGAUUGUUGAUUCCGCGCAUUGGAUUUAACGCGGCGAUCGUUUCUUCUUGUGUUGUGACCAACCUUUCAAGCGGUGCCUGGAUCUCACGCUUACGAGCGCGUGCCAGUUUACGACGUGCCUGGGCCUGGCACUAUCGGGCGGCCGUACACCUGACUUACGUUGGAUUGAGUUAGCGUGUGCUGAUUGAGCUGUUGCGCUCUCGUGGACUACCCUCGAGCUAAGGACAAAGGCUCAAGUCCCACGUUCUGGACGGCGCGGUCGUCGAUCGUUGCGUUGCCAUCAAUUGCCCCAUGUCUGUCAAGUGUACAACUAACAGCAUCCAAGCAAUCGUGUGAAGCGGCUUUCGCAUUCAUGGACGGGUUGGUACGCCAUCGUUAGGACAUCCUGCAGAACGUGACGUGGGACACUGAAUGGACUGUCGUCAUUUGGCCAGCGCUUGCGUCCUUGCUGAUAAACCGAACACGCAUUCCUGGCGCCUACCUUAGUCCAAGAGUUCAUCACGGCCAUCUGCAUAGGUUCAUCAACACACCUAAACGAUUAUCCUGCCAAGGCGGCUUUGUCCGUCCCAGGUGAAGACCAGCGCCCGUGGGAGGAGGCUGAGUGGAAAACGCCGCAUGCCUCACCAGGCCGGCGGCGGCAAAGACUGGAUGACACACGAGCCGGAAAAAGUUCGCACAGUUCCUACUCAAGGAGGU
Rhipicephalus sanguineus (brown dog tick) is the source of this 1273-nucleotide RNA transcript. RefSeq lists it as uncharacterized. The transcript is spliced from 6 exons. The record is from RefSeq and is a predicted model, not a curated record. NCBI's taxonomy places the organism in Eukaryota, Metazoa, Arthropoda, Arachnida, Ixodida, Ixodidae.